RNAcentral lists this microRNA precursor (115 nucleotides) under Gossypium arboreum. RNAcentral describes it as "MIR7504 microRNA precursor family". It matches the Rfam family "MIR7504 microRNA precursor family". The record is from Rfam by way of RNAcentral. Lineage: Eukaryota; Viridiplantae; Streptophyta; Magnoliopsida; Malvales; Malvaceae.
AAUAGUUUUAUGCCACAUUAGUACUCUUAUCCUGAAUUUCAGGAUUUAAAAUACUAAAAUUCAGGAUAAAAUCUUAAAAUUCAGGAUAAGAACACUGAUGUGGCAUAAAACUAUU